CCGAGUUUACAAACUCCCUAACCCCUGUGAACAUACCUAUCGUUGCUUCGGCGGAUCGCCCCGGUGCCAUCGCGGCCCGGAACCAGGCGCCCGCCGGGGACCCCAAACCCUUGAAUUAGUGAAGUAUCUUCUGAGUAAACAAGCAAAUAAAUUA
This 154-nucleotide unclassified non-coding RNA is filed under the name uncultured Fusicolla. RNAcentral's name for it is "sequence contains ITS1". Lineage: Eukaryota; Fungi; Ascomycota; Sordariomycetes; Hypocreales; Nectriaceae. The record is from RNAcentral.